This 1283-nucleotide ribosomal RNA is filed under the name Acinetobacter baumannii. RNAcentral's name for it is "bacterial SSU rRNA". It matches the Rfam family "Bacterial small subunit ribosomal RNA", at positions 212 to 1486 of the family's 1533-position model. The record is from RNAcentral. Lineage: Bacteria; Pseudomonadati; Pseudomonadota; Gammaproteobacteria; Moraxellales; Moraxellaceae.
CUUGCAAUAAAGAAGACCUAAAGUGGGAUUAGGUUGGUUGGGGGGUAAGGCCCUCACAAGGGGGUGUUUUUGUAGUGGGUUGGAAGAGGUUGUUCCCCCACACGGGGAAUGAGACCCGGCCCAAGUCUCCUACGGAAGCCACCAGUGGGAAUAUUGGCCAAUGGGGGGGCCCCUGAUCCAAGCCAUGCCGGGGUUGUGAAGAAGGCCUUAUGGUUGUAAAGCACUUUAAGCGAGGAGGAGGCUACUUUAGUUAAUACCUAGAGAUAGUGGACGUUACUCGCAGAAUAAGCACCGGCUAACUCUGUGCCAGCAGCCGCGGUAAUACAGAGGGUGCGAGCGUUAAUCGGAUUUACUGGGCGUAAAGCGUGCGUAGGCGGCUUAUUAAGUCGGAUGUGAAAUCCCCGAGCUUAACUUGGGAAUUGCAUUCGAUACUGGUGAGCUAGAGUAUGGGAGAGGAUGGUAGAAUUCCAGGUGUAGCGGUGAAAUGCGUAGAGAUCUGGAGGAAUACCGAUGGCGAAGGCAGCCAUCUGGCCUAAUACUGACGCUGAGGUACGAAAGCAUGGGGAGCAAACAGGAUUAGAUACCCUGGUAGUCCAUGCCGUAAACGAUGUCUACUAGCCGUUGGGGCCUUUGAGGCUUUAGUGGCGCAGCUAACGCGAUAAGUAGACCGCCUGGGGAGUACGGUCGCAAGACUAAAACUCAAAUGAAUUGACGGGGGCCCGCACAAGCGGUGGAGCAUGUGGUUUAAUUCGAUGCAACGCGAAGAACCUUACCUGGCCUUGACAUACUAGAAACUUUCCAGAGAUGGAUUGGUGCCUUCGGGAAUCUAGAUACAGGUGCUGCAUGGCUGUCGUCAGCUCGUGUCGUGAGAUGUUGGGUUAAGUCCCGCAACGAGCGCAACCCUUUUCCUUACUUGCCAGCAUUUCGGAUGGGAACUUUAAGGAUACUGCCAGUGACAAACUGGAGGAAGGCGGGGACGACGUCAAGUCAUCAUGGCCCUUACGGCCAGGGCUACACACGUGCUACAAUGGUCGGUACAAAGGGUUGCUACACAGCGAUGUGAUGCUAAUCUCAAAAAGCCGAUCGUAGUCCGGAUUGGAGUCUGCAACUCGACUCCAUGAAGUCGGAAUCGCUAGUAAUCGCGGAUCAGAAUGCCGCGGUGAAUACGUUCCCGGGCCUUGUACACACCGCCCGUCACACCAUGGGAGUUUGUUGCACCAGAAGUAGCUUGCCUAACUGCAAAGAGGGCGGUUACCACGGUGUGGCCGAUGACUGGGGGAAGU